CGAGCCUCCCCGCCACUAGGUGGCGUAGCGAACGUGACAGCGGACCUAAUAACAUCCGCCCAAUACGUCAGGUGUUUCAGUCAUUAACUAAUAGCUCGCAAGACAUGACUUUGUUUUUCCAACAUGGGAACUAAGAAAGGAAACAGCUGGGAGGAGAUACCAAACAAGUCUGCUCUUCAAGUUUCGUAAAUCCCCCAAAACGUCUCCAUGGCGUCUGUUUAGCUGAUUGGAGAGCAUGCAUCCGCAGCUGGUGGAUCCAAGACGAUGACUUCUGUUUAGUUGGAUCAGACAUUUUACUGCCGGGAGACAGGCGCUGUUUGAAAGCAAUUGAGAGAGAGAGCGAGAGACCCACAGAGAGGGAGGCAGAGCUGAAGAUGAGGUCAUCCCAUGCAGGGGUCACUGCCCCCCCCCUCCCCAAUAGAGGGCCACAGAUAAAGGCUGCAGGACAGGAUGGAGAGAAUGGGCCUGGAUGGCUGCACAAGACUGACAGAUGCUCAGAGAGCGCACUGAAUGGAAACCUACAAAAUGACACCAUCGACGACCACAGCAUGAGGGACAAUGCAACAGGUCCAUUGUGUUCUAUAGUUAAUACAGAGCAGUGACGUGGCAGGGGACCCGCUUUAGACGACAACCCAUCGAUGUCAACCAACUCAAGUCCUGGUCCACUGUGUGGUUUCGGCUCUGUCGACAACCGUUUAUAAUGAGUCAAUGUCGACGCCCCUCUGACUGGCGUCGACAUUGACUCAUUGUCGUAAAAAGUAUUCUGAAAAAGUGGUGCGGGUGUGACACGUCUGAGGCAUUUUUUUCAUUGGCCGGUGGGGCUGUUAUAAAUUAGCCUAUGAAUUCUGCCUAGCAACAACCAUGAGAUGUUACCGUAUUUCCUUGAAUUGCCGCAGGGCAUAUAGUAUGCGCCUGCCUUGAAUUACUGCCGGGUCAAACUCGCUUCGCAAAAUAAUUAGCGCAUGCUUAGUAUUACUGCCUGCUCAAACUCGUGACGUCACGAGUGACACUUCCCCUGUCAUCGUUUUCAAAAUGGAGGAGGCUGAUUUCAAUACCGGUAAUUUGAAAUCGCAUAAAGGGAAGAAGAUUAAGAGCUAUUCAGUAGGAUUUAAGGUCCAAGCUUACAUCACACUCAAAUUUUUACUGCAUGCCUUUGGUAAGUGCCGUAGGGAGAAGAGGUUUUAAAAUAAUUAGCGCAUGCUUACUUUUACCGCAUGCCUUUUGAUAAACGCAGGAGUAAGAAGAGAUUUUAAAUUAUUUAGCGCCCCGGCGGCAAUUCAAGGAAAUAUAUAUCUCCAAUCCGAGCAAAGCUGUGCAUAAGUGUUUAAUUUGUUGUUGGUUAGUAAGUAGUAAGGAAACAAUUUCCACCAAAGUUUGUAAAACAGUUCUUCUAACAGGCGUUCGGGGGGUCCAAUCAUGUCCGGGAAUGACACUAUACCAGGCCCCGAGUUUAGUUCCAAACUUGUGAAACAAAAGAUACAGUAUUUGCAGCAAAUUCAAACAAACACUAAAGUGCUACUGUUGAAUAGACUUAGAAGUGAAGUGAAGUGAAUUAUAUUUAUAUAGCGCUUUUCUCAAGUGACUCAAAGCGCUUUACAUAGUGAAA
This is a long non-coding RNA of Nerophis ophidion (straightnose pipefish), 1606 nucleotides long. RefSeq lists it as uncharacterized. Lineage: Eukaryota; Metazoa; Chordata; Actinopteri; Syngnathiformes; Syngnathidae. The record is from RefSeq and is a predicted model, not a curated record. The transcript is spliced from 4 exons.